Molecule: long non-coding RNA, 10719 nt
Filed under: Homo sapiens (human)
Lineage: Eukaryota; Metazoa; Chordata; Mammalia; Primates; Hominidae
Description: non-protein coding lnc-RPL10A-1:5
Source: RNAcentral
ACUCCUGCAUGAAGGCUUCUGGAGAAGUAGGAAGGCUUAGAAUGUCGCUCACUCAUCUUUCACUUCCUGUAGCAACUGUUUCGUGCUCUUAAGUCUGGUAUGUUUUGUUUUCUUGAAUUUUAAGGUGUUCAGACUUAAUCUUCUCUCGGCUUGGUUUUGGGGUUCAUUAAGCGUUUCUCUUUUCCUUCCUAAAGCUUUACUAAAUUUCUUAUUAUAAUCUUUUCAUGAAGUACUGGCUUUCCAUGUCUUCUUUUUUUUUUUUUUUGGAGACAGGGUCUCACUCUGUCGCCCAGGCUGGAAUGCAGUGGCGUGAUCUUGGCUCACUGCAGCUUCCGCCUCCCGGGUUGGUUCAAGUGAUUCUCGUGCCUCAGCCUCCGAGUAGCUGGGAUUACAGGUGUGCGCCAGAAGACCCAGCUAAUUUUUGUAUUUUUAGUAGAGAUGGGAUUUUGCCAUGUUGGCCAGGCUGGUCUCAAACUCCUGACCUCAAGUGAUCCACCCACCUCGGCCUCCCAAAGUUCUGGGAUUACAGGCGUGAGCCACUGAGCCAUGCCUUCUUUACAUUCUUUUCUUCCUCGGUUCCCCCAAAUCAGGGGCAGAUUUUCUCUCAUGUUUGCUUCAUAUCCUUCUGAUUGUAGGUAAAACAACCUCUUUGAUAAAUUCUCCCUCUGUAGCUUGAUUUCUUCAAAAUAUAUCAUAACUUUUGCUCUUCUGCUAAUAAAAUGACAUCUUUUACAUAAUUUAUUUUUUAAAACAUUUCUGCAGAGCCUGAUGUUGAAUCACUUCAGAUCUUUUACUCUUUGUGGAAAAGAAUGGUCCCCAAGAAGAAAAUGGCAAAUGCACCAAUUCUCAUUAGAGGCUCCCAAGGUGCCCCAGGAAAACCAGGGAUUCCGAAUCCAAAACAACUGCACUCUGGUUGGCUGGCAGAUGGGCACCUCUUCUGUGUUGUUUCCCAGCCCUGUUCUCAAACACUGAUGCCUUUCAGCUCGUGUGCAAACCACAAGCUUCUCCUGACAGGUGGAAUUUCCUCAGGACUGUCCGUCUCAGGUGCGUCCAUGUCUGUCUGCACCUGGAUGGCAUCGCCUCUCCAUCUCGAGGACGCCAUCUGGAGGGGUGAGUUCCAGGGUCAGGGAAGGAGGGCAGGAGGGUGGAGGAGGACUGGGUAGCCUGGAGCAGGGGCCCAGGACCAUGUUUAAGAGCUGGGGAGGAGGAGAGUGUGAAGCAAGAGGAGGAGGAGGGGACAGGGACGGGGACGGGGGAGGGGGAGCGGGAGGAGAGGAUCUACUUGUGUCUCCAAGACUGUGUGCUGUUAUUAUCUGGUUCUAGCCGUCAGGCAAGUCUUUACUGGAUUACCUCCUGCCUGAACUAUUCCCUCCCUCUUUUUUCACCCGCAGGGCAGGGCAGGGUGGCUGAUCCCCUGCAGGCCCCAGCCCUGUGACUCAGCCACCAAAGCCCAAUCUCCAGCCCAAGGGAACCAAGGGUAUCUUCUUCAUCAUCCUUCCAGUCCUCUUCCCCUUCGCCGGGCUCCAGCCUCAGCUUGGCCCUCACCUCCACUCCUCUCCCCUCUCACCCCUGCCCCCAUUCCACUUCAUCUCCCUCCCUCACCUUAGGGCACCUCUGCCUGCUCCUUAUGCUGGAGUUGAUUUUCUACAAUCUCAACUCAGCCAAGAGAUCUCAUCACCUAAAAAAGUGAUGUGAACCUUAAGAUCACAUAUGUCAUAUGGGGGUGAAGGUGGGGGUGGGAGGCACUAAGGGCAGGGCAGCAGGUGGGUCAGCCCCAGGUGCUGGCAAUAGAUGGGGGUCCAGGUCAGCAGAGAACCUAAAAACAAUAAAGCAACUGAUUAGCCCGUCUCUUUAUUGUAAAACCCUGUGCUGGCAAUCCUAAACAAUGUUGGUGAUAAAAUGUUCCUCUCUCAAAAUCUUUUAGUUAGGAUCUAAGUUUUAUAUAAUUGCUUAGGUCAUUGUUGAGAGUUUCUUUCUUUCUUUCUUUCUUUCUUUCUUUCUUCCUUCUCUCUUUCUCUCUUUUCUUUUCUUUCUUUUUUGAAAUGUAGUCUCGCUCUGUCGCCAGGCUGGAGUGCAAUGAAGCAAUCUCAGCUCACAGCAACCUCCACCGCCUAGGUUCAAGCGAUUCCCCUGCCUCAGCCUCCAAAGUAGCUGGGAUUAGAGGCAUGCGCCACCAUGCCCAGCUAAUUUUUGUAGUUUUAAUAGAGGCGGGGUUUCACCAUGUUGACUAGGCUGGCCUGGAACUCCUGACCUCAUGUGAUUCGCCCGCCUCAGCCUCCUGAAGUGCUGGGUUUAUAGGCGUGAGCCGCUGUGCCCAGCCUUGAGUUUCAAUUAAAAAAAAACUAAAAAACCCCUCUAUCUGUGGGGAGGGAGAGCAUCAGGAUAAAUAGCUAAUUCAUGCUGGGCUUAAUGCCUAGGUGAUAGGUUGAUAGGUGCAGCAAACCAUCAUGGCACAUGUUUACCUAUGUAACAAAACUGUAUAUCCUGCACAUGUACCCAAGAACUUAAAUGAAAUUAUUAACCCUCUAUAUCCUUCAAAUUAGCACAUUUUAAUUAGUUAUCCUUUAUAUUCUACAUGGAAGCUAAUUCGGAAAAUUACUCCCCCCUCAACAAACACAGCUACUUAUUUGGAGAGUAGGUCCCUAAAGAUUUGAAAUGCUUUCUGCUCUCUUCAGUGUGGUUUGUGUCUUUAGCCCCACCGUACAACAUACUUCUGCAUUUAGUGAAUAUGAAAUAAAUGAUGGUACACAGAGUGUAUAGAAGUGAUUGUAUGCUGUGCUUGUAAAAAUGAUUAAACAACUUGAAUCAUUUCAAUUCAGUUAUAUGAUUGCUUGGAGUUUUAAUUUGUUUUUAAUUCUUUUUUUUUUUUUUUUUUAUAGUUGAGAUGGGGUCUUGCGAUGUUGCCCAGACUGGACUGGAACUCCUGGGCUCAAGCCAUCCUCCCGCCCUAGUUUCUUUUUUUUUUUUCUUUUUUUCUUUUUAGACAGAGUCUCGCUCUGUUGUCCAGGUUGGAGUGCAGUGGCACAAUCUCAGCUCACUGCAACUUCCACCUCCCGGAUUCAAGUGAUUGUUGUGCCUAGACCUCCCAAGUAGCUGGGAUUACAGGUGUCCACCACCACGCCCAGCUGAUUUUUGUAUUUUUAAUAGAGACAGGGUUUCGCCAUGUUGGCCAGGCUAGUCUCGAACUCCUGACCUCAAACGAUCCACCCACCUUGGCCUCCCAAAUGUUGGGAUUACAGGUGUGAGCCACCACACCUGGCCUGCCCUAGCCUCUUAAAUAGAUGGGAUUACAGGUGCCUGUUGCCAUACCUGUAAUCCCAUCCCAAAUCCAUAAAUUUGCUGUUUUUUGAAUUUAAAACAGCAAAAUAGAAUGUCAGCUUAAGGUGUAGUUUUUUUUAAUCAGUAUAACUUUUAAUUGGUACAUGAAAUAUUUCAUUUGAUUGAAUAAUAUUUUUAAAAUUUGAAGUUAAUUUUUUGUUUUAAAAUUAAGUAAUGAAGAAAAUAAUUAUUAAUGAGAACAUGGUUAUUAACUGAAAAUCAUUUCUUGUAUAGAGAAGGGGGCAUUGGAAUGGUCCCCCAGGGUAUGAAAGGCGUGAGUUCUACACUGAGCGCAGGCGUGGGAGCCCUUGCUCAGCCAUCCCGGGAGCUCUGCUGUGCCAGACUAUUAGCUUGGGCUCCCAUCCUGGAUGGCUGAGCUUCACCUUUGAGUAUUUUCCUUAGGAGGAGCUCACAAGAGCAACAUUCCUUGAGUUUUGCCUGUUCAGAAAUGUGUGGGCUGGGUAUAAACGUCUUGGGUUACAUUUGCAUCUUUCAGGAUUUCUAGGUGUUGUUUGCUCCGCUGUCCUAUAACAUUGGGUCGCAGUUGCAGAGAUGGGUGAGCCCCGCACAUUCUUUUCUUCUUACUGGUGAUUUGGUCCGUUAGCCUGUCAGUUCAAAGAAUUGUAUCCUUAUCUGUGAACGUCAGUUCAUUUGGAAAUGUUGACUGUUUAUAUCCACUUUUAUUGGGACAUGGCCUUUGAAGAUGCAUAAUCCUGUUUUCUUAGUGCUGGAAACAGUUUCAGGAUUCUGUCUUCAUGUUUGUUCUUUUGUUUCCUUAGGAACUACAACUGCGUAUCUAUUAGCUCUCUUGUCCGUUUGCCAUAUGUCAUUUCCUUUUAGCUAUCUAGGAAGAAGAGCUUACAGGGUAAACUUCCCAUUUAACUAUCCCCUUUCCAUUUUCUCACUCACUUUGUUACAGUCCUCUCUGUGUUUUUGGUGGCAUCUGCUUUUCCUGUGAUACUUUCCAUUUUCUCUUCUCCUCUGUGCUGCUUUAAUUUUUCUCUUCCACGUAUUUCCUGGGUUUUGCCAGCUCUUUCUCUCUCUCUUUUUUGAGACAGAGUCUCACUCUGUCACCCAGGCUGGAAUGCAGUGACACAAUCCUAGUUCACUACAGCCUUGCACUCCUGGGCUCGAGAGAUCCUCCUGUCUCAGACUCCAAGUAGCCAGGACUACAGGCCUGCACCACCAUGCCUGGCUUUUUUUUAAUUAAAAAAAAAUUUUUUUUCAAGAUGGAGUCUUACUCUUUUGCCCAGACUGGAGUGCAGUGGCGCUUUCUUGGCUCACUGCAAUCUCUGCCUCCUGGGUUUAUGUGAUUCUCCUGCAUCAGCCUCCAAAGUAGCUGGGAUUACAGGUGCCCACCACCAGAGCCGGCUAAUUUUUGUAUUUUUUUUUAGUAGAGAUGGGGUUUCACCAUGUUGGCCAGGCUGGACUUGAACUCCUGACCUCGUGAUCCACCUGCCUCAGCCUCCCAAAGUGCUGGGAUUACAGGCAUGAGCCACCGCACCUGGCCAUUUAAAAAUACAUAUGUAUUAAUUUUUUUUUAAGAGAUGGGGUCCCUCUUUGUCACCCAGGCUGAAAUGCAGUGGCAUGAUCAUAGCUCACUGCUGCCUCAAAUUCCUAGGCUCAAUAAAUCUUCCUCACUCAGCCUCCUGAGUAGCUGGGACCACAGGUGCAUGCCAUGCCCAGCUAAUUUUUAAAUUUUUUGUAGAGAUGGGAUCUUGCCAUCUUGCCCAGUCUGGUGUAGAACUCCUGGCCUCAAGCAAUCCUCCCAUCUUAGCCUCCCAAAGUGCUAGAAUUACAGGCAAGAAUCUACUAGGCCUGGCCUAUUCUUAAUUUUUUGUAGGGAUGGGGUCUCACUAUGUUGCCCAGGGUGGUCUUGAACUCCUGGCCUCAGGUGAUCCUCCUCACUCAGACUCCCAAAGCACUGGAAUUACAGGCAUGAGCCACCAUGCCUGGCCUCAGUUUCUUUCUUUCUUUCUUUUUUUUUUUUUUUUUUCUGAGACGGAGUCUCGCUCUGUCACCCAGGCUGGAGUGCAGUGGCAUGAUCUUGGCUCACUAUAACCUCCGCCUCCUGGGUUCAAGUGAUUCUCCUGCUUCAGCCUCCCAAGUAGCUGGGAUUACAGGCACUUGCCACCAUGCCUGGCUAAUUUUUUUUUUUUUUUAGUAGAGACAGGGUUUUACCAUGUUGGUCAGGCUGGUCUCGAUCUCCUGACCUCAAGCAAUCCACCCGCCUCAGCCUCCCAAAGUGCUGCAAUUACAGUCGUGAACCAACGUGCCUGGCAACCUUAGUUUCUUAUUUGUGCUUUGGCUUUACGGAAGAGUUUUUUUUUUUUUUAAAUUUUUAAAUGAAAUACUUAUUUGAAUUUUUCACCUGCUCAGUGGUAAAAAUUUUCUAAUAAGUGUUCUUCAGUUUUUGUAUAUUUAUCUUGUUCCUUUCUUCCUUUUUUCUUUUUUUUAAAUUUAUUUUUUAUGUUGUAGAAACAAUGUUUCCCUGUGUUGGCCAGACUGGUCUUGAAUUACUGGGCUCAAGUGAUCCUUCCCUCUUAGCCCCCCAAAGUUCUGGGAUGAUAGGCAUAAGCCACCACACCUGGCCCCUUUCCUCCUUUUUUCUUCUAGUGUCUUUGCAUAGAUCCCCUACUGAUUCAUCUUUAAUUUAUUUGAGAGGGUGAGCUUUUCAGGUGGAAUAAGAGCCAGGGCCUUUUCCAAGGAGUAGGUCAAUGCUGGGGCAGAGUUGUCAACUGCCAGGCUGACUGUGGAAGGCACACCCCAACAUGCACCCAGAGCCCCUGGGCAAAGGCUGUGAGGCUUGCUGGUUCCAGGCAGUGACAGAAAUCUGUGUCAUCAUUGGCUGACCACUAAGCUAACCAAGAAAAGACUUCAGUAGCCAUAUACAACACAGAAUAUAGACUUCACAGAAUUAAGUCAGAAAAGUCACUAAGCAAACAACAGUAAUUACAACAAAUCCUGGGGAGGGAGAAGAAUCUAUUUCUAGAGCUGCCACAUCUUGUUAUUCAAAAUGUCCAUUUUUCAAAAAAAUUAUGAGACAUGAAAAGGAAAAAGAAAGUAUGGACCCAUACACAGGAAAAAAAGCAACCAGUAAAAACUGUUCCUGAGGAAAUCCAAACAAUGAACCCACUUGAAAAAAAUACUUAAUCAGCUAUUUCAAAUAUGUUUAGCCAGGCACUGUGGUGGGCACUUGUAGUCCCAGCUACUCAGGAGGCUGAAGUGGGAGGAUUGCAGGAGUUUGAGACCAACCUGGGCAAAAUAGUGAGACCUCCAUUUCAAAAAAAGUUUAAAAAACUUAAGAAAACCGUGUCUAAAGAAUUAAAUGAAAGUAUAAGAAUAACUUACCAAACAGAAUAUCAACAAAGAUAGGAAUUAUAAUAAAGAACCAAGUAGAAAUUCUGGAGUUGAAAAGCACAAUAACUGAAAUGAAAAAUUCACUAGAGGGGCUCAACAACAGAUUUGAGCAGGCAAAGAAUGAGUGACCUUGAAGAUAGGUUAGCUGAGAUGAUCUAGUUUGAGGAAGGGGGAAAGGAGAGAAUGAAGAAAAAGGAACAGACUAAGAUCUGUAGGACAUCAUCAAACAUACCAGCAUACACAAAAUGGGAGUCCCCAAAGGAGAGAGACAGAGAAAGGUGAGGAAAAAAUUUGAAGAAGAAAGUGGCCAAAAGUGUCUCACAUUUUAUUAAAAACAUUAAUAGUUUACUUCAAGCAGAAUAAACUCAAAGACAUUCACACCUAGACACAUUAUAAUCAAAUGAUUGAAAGUCAAAGCCAAAGAGACUUUUGAUGGCUGGUUGCUGUGGCUGAUGCCUGUAAUCCCAGCACUUUGGGAGCCCAAGUCCAGUGGAUCACCUGAGGUCAGGAGUUCUAGACCAGCCUGGGCAAUAUAGUGAGAUCCCAUCUCUAUUAAAAAUACAAAAAUUGGCUGGGUGUGGUGGCUCACACCUGUAAAUCCAGCACUUUGGGAGGCCAAGGUGGGUGGAUCACAAGGUCAGGAGUUCAAGACCAGCCUGGCCAAGAUGGUGAAACCCUGUCUCUACUAAAAAUACAAAAAUUAGCCGGGCGUGGUGGUGGGUACCUGUAACCCCAGCUGCUUGGGAGGCUGAGGCAGGGAAUUGCUUGAACCCAGGAGGUGGAGGUUGUAGUGAGCCGAGAUCGUGCCACUGCACUCCAGCCUGGGUGACAGAGUGAGACUCCAUCUCCAAAAAAAAAAAAAAAAAUUAUCCAUCUCAAAAAAAAAAAUUAUCCGGGUAUGAUAGUGGGCGCCUGUAGUCCCAGCUACUUGGGAGGCUGAGGCAGGAGAAUUGCUUGAACCUAUGAGGUGGAGGUUGCAGUGAGCUAAGAUUGCGCCACUGCACUCCAGACUGGACGACAGAGUGAGACUGUCUUAAAAAAAAAUCAAAAUUUUGAAAGUAGCAAGAAGUAGCAAGAGAGAAACUACUCAUUGCAGACAGCCAUCCUCAGUAAGAUUCACAGGUAAUUCCCCAUCAGAAUCUAUGGCAGCCAGAGGGCAGAGGGAAGAUGGAGAAAUUAAGACAUUCCCAGAUAAACAUAUAUCGUCUCUACAAAAAAAAAAAAAAAAAAAAAAAAAAAAGCCAGGCAUGGUGGUGUACACCUCUAAUCCCAGCUACCCAGGAGUCUGAGGCAGGAGGAUCACUUGAUCCUGGGAGUCUGAGGCUGCAGGAUGCUAUGAUCAUGCUGCUGUACCUCAGUCCAGGUGAUGGAGUGAGACCCUGCCUCUAAAAAAUUUUUUUAAAAUAAAGAUCUGAGCAGGGGUAGUAGUGUGCACCUGUAGACCCAGCUGCUCCGGACCCUGAGGCAGGAGGAUCACUUAGCCCAGGAGUCUGAGGCUGUAUGUGCGAUGAUCAUGCCUGUGAAUAACCACUGUACUCCAGCCUUAGCGACAUAGUGAGACCGUGUCUCUGAGAGAAAAAAAAAAAAAGGAAAAAAAAGAAAAGAAAUACUUCAGAUCAAUAACUUAAGCUUCCAUCUUAAGAAACUAGAAAAAGAAGAUCAAACUAAACCAGAAGCAAGUAGAGGGAAUAAGAUCAUAAAAAUUAGAGUACAGAUAAAUAAAAUAGAGAAUAGAAAAACAAUAGAGUAAAUCAGUGAAACCAAGAAUUGGGUUUUUAAAAGAUUAACAAAAUUGACAAUGCAAAGCUACUCUUCUCCCAUCACACAGUCUGAUUUCUGCAAAUACGGUAUUUCAGUUAUCUGUUGCUGUAUGACAAAUCACCCCAAAACGUAGUGGCUUAAGACAGCAGCAACCAUUUAAAUAAAAAUUCUGUAUUUUAGGCAGGCUCUGUGGGUAUGACUCAACUCUGCCUCCACAUGGUGGUGGCUGGAAUUGCAUGCAUCCAGAAGCUCAACUGGGCUGUAACUUCCAAGAUGUUCCACUCACAGCUGGUAGCUGGUGCUGUUAGCUGAGGCUACAGUUCUGGGCUUUUCCUUGUUCUAUCUUGGGCUUCCUUACAGCAUGGCAACUGCAUUCCAAGAAGGAGUGUUUCAAGUAUUGAGAGUGGAAGCUGCCGAUGUCCUGGAGACCAACCUUGAAAGUCACACAACAUCACUUCUGACACCUUCUAUUGGUCAAAGCGUGACACAGCCUGUCCAAAUUCAAGGGGAGGGGAAACAGACUCCACUUCUUCAUGGGAGGAGUGGCAAAGAAAUUGCAGCCAUCUUUAUUCCAUCACAUAUGGCUUGCCUGCAUGAUUCCUCAAUUGGCCGCUUUUGCUUUGUUCCUUGGGAGCAAAGCAGACCCAGGGGUGUUCUUGCAGCUGCUGUUGAUCUGCUCCAGUUGCUGCAAAAAGAUUUUAUUUAUUUACUUAUUUAUUUGAGAUGGAGUUUCGCUCUUGUUGCCCAAGCUGGAGUGCAAUGGCGCAAUCUUAGCUCACUGCAAUCUCUGCCUUCUGGGUUCAAGCAAUUCUCCUGCCUCAGCCUCCCGAGUAGCUGAGGUUACAGGCAUGCGCCACCAUGCCUGGCUAGUUUUGUAUUUUUAAUACAGACGGGGUUUCUCCAUGUUGGUCAGGCUGGUCUCGAACUCCCAACCUCAGGUGAUCCACCCACCUGGGCCUCCCAAAGUGUUGGGAUUACAGGCGUGAGCCAACGUGCCCAGCCAAGAUUUUAUUUUUAUACACUAGGGUGUGCCCCUCGCCCUCAAGGCAUGCACUUUGCUGCUUCUCACAUUUGGGUGUGUGUAGGGGGAUGGGAAACCAGGCAGAGAGGUCAUGGGCACAGACUCUGGGGCCAGAUGGCCCGGGUUUGAAUUCUGCCCGUGUCACCUGCUUACUGUGUGACUGUGCGCAGUCACGUCAUCUUUCUGAGCCUCAGCGUCAUUGCAAAUGCUGUGCAAGUGUUUGCUUCUGCAGUUGCUACUGCUCUAUCUGCAGCCACAGGCACCCUCUGUGAUCUUCCUCCUGUCCCUCUGCUGGAUCCCUGCUGCCUUCAGCACUCUGGCCUAUUUUAGUACUCAGGAUCUCGGGUAGCUCCUAGGUUUACUGGAAAUGGAUUUUAUGUUUCUGUAUCUCAUUCUCCAUGUUGCUUCUCAUGAUUUUUGAGAGGAGGGAGGAAAAUGCUAAUUUUAUUCUACCAUACACAAACCAGAAGUCCAAAAAAAACAAUUUUUUUCUUUUUUUGAGACAGGGUCUUGCUCUGUCGCCCAAGCUGGAGUGCAGUGGUAUGCUCUGGGCUCACUGUAACCUCUGCCUCCCAAGUUCAAGCGAUUCUUGUGCCUCAGCCUCCGAAGUAGCUGGGAUUACAAGCACAGGCCACCAUACCGGGCUAUUUUUGUAUUUUUAGCAGAGACGGGGUUUCAUCAUGUUGGCCAGGCUGGUCUUGAACUCCUGACCUCAGGUGAUCCACCCACCUCAGCCUCCCAAGGUGUUGGGAUUACAGGCGUGAGCCACUGUGCCUGACCCAACAAAAACAAUUUUGAAGAGGAACAAGAAUAAGCUUUCACCACCAGCUAUCAUGAUUAAAACUAUGGUCUUGGCACAUGGAUAGCUGUGUGUCUUUGUCCCUCUUUAUCCAUCCUAAUGGAACAGAAUUGGCAGCCUAGAAAGAAAUCCAACGGGUGCAGGAGUUUGGCUCUGACAGAGGUGGCAUAACAAACCAUGAAGGAAAGAAUGGACUAAGCGGUACGUGGUGCUGAAAAAGCUAAUAUUAGAUCCUUACCUUCCACCAUACAAAGUACAUUCUAGACUAAAUACCUACACAGUGUCCGUUUAAAUAUAGAGGCCCUGGCCGGGUGCAGUGGCUCACACCUAUAAUCCCAGCACUUUGGGAAGCCGAGGCGGGCGAAUCACUUGAGGUCAGGAGUUUGAGACCAGCCUGGUCAACAUGGUGAAACCCUGUCUCUACUACAGAUACAAAAAUUAGCCAGGUGUGGUGGCACAC